RNAcentral lists this ribosomal RNA (253 nucleotides) under uncultured bacterium. RNAcentral describes it as "partial 16S ribosomal RNA". It matches the Rfam family "Bacterial small subunit ribosomal RNA", at positions 524 to 776 of the family's 1533-position model. The record is from RNAcentral.
UACGUAGGGGGCAAGCGUUGUCCGGAUUUAUUGGGCGUAAAGAGCGUGUAGGCAGCCUGAAAGGUCAGCUGUGAAAACUCGAGGCUCAACCUCGAGACGUCGGUUGAAACCAUCUGGCUAGAGUCCGGAAGAGGAGUGUGGAAUUCCCGGUGUAGCGGUGAAAUGCGCAGAUAUCGGGAAGAACACCCGUGGCGAAGGCGGCACUCUGGGACGGUACUGACGCUGGGACGCGAAAGCGUGGGGAGCGAACAGG